This 91-nucleotide transfer RNA is filed under the name Rhizobium leguminosarum. RNAcentral describes it as "tRNA-Ser". The record is from RNAcentral. Lineage: Bacteria; Pseudomonadati; Pseudomonadota; Alphaproteobacteria; Hyphomicrobiales; Rhizobiaceae.
GAUUGUUGAGGAACGUCAGGAAGCAAUUCCAAAGACUAGGCCCAAAUUCCUAAUCUGGGGGUCGCGCGUUCGAAUCGCGCCGGGAUCACCA